GUGGGCGUAGCUCAGUUGGUUAGAGCGUCAGAUUGUGGCUCUGAAGGUCGCCGGUUCAAUCCCGGUCGUCCACCCCA
Molecule: transfer RNA, 77 nt
Filed under: Helicobacteraceae bacterium
Lineage: Bacteria; Pseudomonadati; Campylobacterota; Epsilonproteobacteria; Campylobacterales; Helicobacteraceae
Description: tRNA-His
Rfam family: tRNA
About the family: Transfer RNA (tRNA) molecules are approximately 80 nucleotides in length.
Source: RNAcentral